Molecule: ribosomal RNA, 258 nt
Filed under: uncultured bacterium
Lineage: Bacteria
Description: partial 16S ribosomal RNA
Rfam family: Bacterial small subunit ribosomal RNA
Source: RNAcentral
UGGCGGACGGGUGAGUAACGCGUGGGAAACCUGCCCUGUACCGGGGGAUAACACUUAGAAAUAGGUGCUAAUACCGCAUAAGCGCACAGGAGUGCAUGCUCCAGUGUGAAAAACUCCGGUGGUACAGGAUGGUCCCGCGUCUGAUUAGCCAGUUGGCAGGGUAACGGCCUACCAAAGCGACGAUCAGUAGCCGGCCUGAGAGGGUGGACGGCCACAUUGGGACUGAGACACGGCCCAAACUCCUACGGGAGGCAGCAG